AUUGAACGCUGGCGGCAGGCCUAACACAUGCAAGUCGAGCGGUAGAGAGAAGCUUGCUUCUCUUGAGAGCGGCGGACGGGUGAGUAAUGCCUAGGAAUCUGCCUAGUGGUGGGGGAUAACGUUCGGAAACGGACGCUAAUACCGCAUACGUCCUACGGGAGAAAGCGGGGGAUCUUCGGACCUCGCGCCAUUAGAUGAGCCUAGGUCGGAUUAGCUAGUUGGUAGGGUAAAGGCCUACCAAGGCGACGAUCGGUAGCUGGUCUGAGAGGAUGAUCAGCCACACUGGAACUGAGACACGGUCCAGACUCCUACGGGAGGCAGCAGUGGGGAAUAUUGGACAAUGGGCGCAAGCCUGAUCCAGCAAUUCCGCGUGGGUGAAGAAGGUCUUCGGAUUGUAAAGCCCUUUCGUUGGGACGAUGAUGACGGUACCCAAAGAAGAAGCCCCGGCUAACUUCGUG
This 458-nucleotide ribosomal RNA is filed under the name uncultured bacterium. RNAcentral's name for it is "bacterial SSU rRNA". It matches the Rfam family "Bacterial small subunit ribosomal RNA", at positions 30 to 507 of the family's 1533-position model. The record is from RNAcentral.